This 702-nucleotide ribosomal RNA is filed under the name Triticum aestivum (bread wheat). Its description in RNAcentral is "partial small subunit ribosomal RNA". The record is from RNAcentral. Lineage: Eukaryota; Viridiplantae; Streptophyta; Magnoliopsida; Poales; Poaceae.
AUGGAGCACGCGACGGCGACGCUGGCGACGGAGCUGGACGGGCUGCUGGCCAUGGCGAGGGAGCUGGAGGCGCGGGUGGGCGCCGGCCAGGGCGUGCCGGGUGCCGCGAGGGAGCUCUGCGCCGCGCUGGCCGCGUCCAUCGACCGGGCCGUGCGCCUCGCCGGCAGUGGCGGCAAUGCCGGCGGCAGAGCGAGCGUGAACGGCAAGCUCAGGAGCGGCAGGAAGGCGGCGCUGGCGAAGGUGCGGACGGAGGUGCGCGUGGCGUCGAUGCAGGACCUGGGGCCGCUCGACGACGGGAUGAUCUGGCGGAAGUACGGCCAGAAGUACGGCCAGAAGGCCAGAAGGCACACGCAGGGCUGCGCCGCCACCAAGCAGGUGCAGCGCGCGACGGCCGACCCGCUGCUCUUCGACGUCGUGUACCUCGGCGCGCACACCUGCGCCCAGGCCGCCGCGAUCCUGACCGGCCCGGAACACCAGCCGCCGCCUGCUGCCUUCGGCCAGGAGCAGCAGAGCCCGCCGGAAGGGGUUCAGUGGCCGGCAGAGCCCGUGAGUCCGUUUUGCUUGCCCUCCUCGCCGGCGAGCUCCUGGUGCCAGCUUACCGGGAGCUACGGCUACGCGGCAGCGGGCGGCGGCCUCGGAGUUGACAUGGAGCUAGAAGGUCAACUCGACGAGCUGUUCUUGGACCUGUCAGGGAUUUUGUAA